RNAcentral lists this small nucleolar RNA (128 nucleotides) under Leptobrachium leishanense (Leishan spiny toad). RNAcentral's name for it is "Small nucleolar RNA SNORA15 (ENSLLEG00000000906.1)". It matches the Rfam family "Small nucleolar RNA SNORA15". Rfam says of the family: ACA15 is a member of the H/ACA class of snoRNA that guide the sites of modification of uridines to pseudouridines. The record is from Rfam by way of RNAcentral. Lineage: Eukaryota; Metazoa; Chordata; Amphibia; Anura; Megophryidae.
GCAUGGAUGAAUUCUGCUUUCACUUGCUGUAGUCAUCGCAGUCAGACACCAUGCUAAAGUAAUGCUGGCUUGUGUGUUAACUGGCAUCUUCAUGUUUUUUGUCAGAUUAAACAGGCUUGCGUACAAGU